Molecule: small nucleolar RNA, 35 nt
Filed under: Tursiops truncatus (common bottlenose dolphin)
Lineage: Eukaryota; Metazoa; Chordata; Mammalia; Artiodactyla; Delphinidae
Source: RNAcentral
UGAUGAAUAAAAUUAAAUCGCCAUCUUUCGGCUGA